This is a long non-coding RNA of Gasterosteus aculeatus aculeatus (three-spined stickleback), 3928 nucleotides long. The record is from Ensembl. NCBI's taxonomy places the organism in Eukaryota, Metazoa, Chordata, Actinopteri, Perciformes, Gasterosteidae.
UUAAAAAAACAAAACAGAAUUCUCUCCCUGUUGGACGUAAACAUGGGAGCUGACUGCUCCUCAAACGCGCUGGAUAUUCGGCCGGAUGAGGAUUGAGCACGUCGUUAUAAUUAAUUAUAUAAGACAACGUUAUAUAACAUUGAAAGUGCACUUUACCGAGGAGGAGCACAGCAUUUGAACAUUUCUUCAACAAUGUCAUGCUGGCCUUCUGGGGAGGGGAAUUAUGCUCCAAAGAAGGCUGAAGGUUGACAAGGCGGGUUAUCUUUUUUUUCAAAGGACCCAUCACCUGAAUAUAUCUGAAUCAAAGCGUAUUCUACAGGAACCCGGGGGGCCACUUUACCAGAACCCCAUCCAGUUUGGAGCCACAGGUUGAUUCCACACGGAGAACGUUGCACUUCAUGCUAGCAGCAGCCGCACAGUUAACUUUUGCUAUUUUUCAUAUUAUUCCAUCGCUGUCGACAAAGCUUCAGGAUCGACCUGUUCAACACGUCGACCACGCGUCCUCUCCUCCGGACUCCGUGCGACGGACGCCUCGGUUCUCCUGCUCUUGGUUGUGGUGCAUCUGUUCGGGCGGGGCGACGCGCCCACCGUUGUAAUUAGUGCAGUGAAGUGGGUGAACUCGUGUAACUCCAUCAAAGCGGAUUCAAUUCCACCCAGAGCCUCGUUACAGAGUCUCGUUAACGCGUCCGCGAGGGGGCGGGGCCACACCGGUGUGAUCGCCCCCAUCCGGUCAGACGCCGGCCGGCUCUCUUCAUUGUUUGUUAGUCGUUGUUUACGCGUGACAUCAGAUGUCGGACAAACUGAUAAUUAGCAAUGAGUAGUUGACACAGCAGUUGUACUAGGUUGAGUAUUCCUUUGCGGUACAGGUAAUUAAAUACUGUUCUCACAAAUCGGUGUACGUAUUACAUAUAAUUAGUAGUACUUUGUCAAUUUUCGCUCAGUCAAGAAAGUGCGGAGCUGUUGUUCUGUGAGAUCCACGGGGAUCACGUUGUGUCCUCUGAAGCACAGCAAACAACCUGCUGGUUGUUUCACCAACCGGCUGAAAACUUGCCGUGAAGAAUGCGACGCAUUACCGCUGAUCGAAAACGUCUUACAUCACUUGAGCCGGCCAGCGCCUUUUGCUGCAUUAUUACGUUCCUUCGCCAUUCUGCUGAAAAUAGUCCCAUUAAAAGGCAAUCGCGCCGCCUCAGUGUGCGAUUCCGCAGCUCGGGUAAUGAAGCCGCAGGAGACGCUCGCCCAGAGCAAACUUAAAUCAUUUCACACACACACACACACACUCGGGAGACAUGCAGUCUGCGAUCGGAGUUAAAUCACUUGACCUCUGACCCCUCUCUGGACCAAUGAGGGCAUCCUCGAACACCUGGGUUGCAAACCCCCCCGACGACAGCCCGUAAAUAGCAGGCGAUUUGGGAGAAAAGAGGGCGGGGCAUGUGAGGGAUCGAUGGCCCCUCUCGGCGCGUUCCAUCGGUCUCAUCACCCCGAUCACGCCUGGGAGCUGCACCUCCCGGUUAAUGACCAGCAGCUCACAGCUGAGUGCUUCAUGUGUGACAUGUGGAGGACACACACACACACACACACACACACACACACACACAGUGAUGCAUGCUAUCCUCCAGCAAAUUAUUUUGUUUACAUAGCUGUUAUUCUCUGUUACACUCAGGGCUCGCAUUAUGAAAAUAAUACAUGAAAACAAGCUUACAGGGUGAACCCCCCCCCUCUCUCCUUUGUGUAUUACUUUAUCUGGAAACUAAUAGGGACGUUUUGAGCAGCCAGUAGCUGUUUUUAUUGAACUUGCAAAGCGGCAUUAAGGCUCGCUACUUGAUUAAUGAAACCAAUUAUUUCUAAGCGGGAUGAACAGUGCUCAGGAAUGCAAUCAUUUCUGCUUCUCUUCACACAGUGUGCCAAUCAUUUAAUACAGAUACAGAGUUCACUGGAGAACAAUCUGCUCGUUUUCUUUUCCCAAUGAAAGGAAAUCUGUUCCCCACAUCCAGAAUGUGUAAAGGUACGACACUUUUAUUUCAUUAAUGGGUCAGAAAACAAAUGCAAAGGCACACGAGAGGAAGCAGAGAGUGUAGGAGGUGCAGCUGAUGCCUGUAAGGUUCUUUCAUCAAACCGUCUUGGAUGUCAGAGUCUUCUCUCGAGAGGCUGGUAUGUGAGUACCUGAGUCUUUAUUGUACAGCGGGCAAAGUUUUGAGAACACAAAAUCAUUUGCAUGAUUUUCCAGGUUGGCAAAUUGCACCAUGCGUUAUGCACACAUGUGCUUUUUCCAGGAGAAUGCGUCCGAGCGAUGAAUAAACCGCUAGUAUUUGCAGUAUAUUAGCGUAAAUAAUGUAUAUUACUAUAUAAGCUGCCCGAGGAGUCCUGGCUGCUUUCCAGCUGCUCGGGUCUGUGCAAAUAACAGAAGGUUUUAAGAAGCGGCAUGAAAGUCCUGAAAGCCAGGACGGCAUAUUUGAAAGGCCUCGGCAUGAAAAAUGAAAGUGUCAGUUCACCCGAAGGGAAAGAAAACUCAUUUGCGUCUCCGUGGAAGCUCGCCGUGCAGACAGUUCAGCUUUUAUGAGUGAGGGCUUCCAGAAAACCUUUUUCUAAAAGUCGCCUAACACCCCCCACCUUAAUUUGUGCAGCUUGAAAAAUAAAAGUAGCCUUUGGAAGAACGAGCGGUGGUGCUGUGUCAGGAUGGAGGGACGAGGGGAGGCUGGCAGAGAGAGUGGUUUCCUGUCACCCUCACUUACGGUGACGGGCACCUGUUUAAUAAGGCCUCUUUGUGUGUGCAAAGCGCCGCUGGAGCUUUGUUCGAUCAAUAUGGUGGCCGGUGUACGCAAAGGUCUCCGUGCACACGCACACGUGGCCGCGUGUGUGUGCGUGUGCACGUGCACCGGCCCACUGGCCGCGGCUUCAUUAAACAUUUAAUUAACGUCAAACAUCGUUUGCGGCGUCAGAUUAAACUCGCCCACGUGCACGCGUCCCCCCCCCCUCAGACAGAGACCCACCCACAUGCACAAACGACGUCGGGGCAAAACGGAGGUUUCAGCUUCUCCCUGCGCAUGACGGCGUCACACACAUCCGCACGGGGACACGGACCCAUGUGAGGUGGGUGACGACGGCGACUCGGAGCCGCAGAGACGCGCGUCAAACCCAAUUUGUGUCACGAAGAGGAAAGAGACAAGUUUUCCGUUUGGUGUCUGCAUGUACAGUAUGCAUAUUUCCAUAAAUGUGUGUGUUACUUCCUGUGCGUGCUGCGCAUGACUCACUUCUUCCGUGUGAAAUUAGAGAGCGAGAGAGAGGAGAGAGCGAAAGGGGAACAGUGGCGGAUGGUUGGGGCAGAGGUUAAGCACACUUCCAGAUAGCAUCUUAAAUAUUAGAGCGGUGAUUCAUAUCCCAACUGAGAAAAUGAAAGGGAUAAAAAUAGCAGGCGACAGACAGGUCCAAUAAAAAGAAAGAGGCAGUGGGAAAGCUCCUGAGUCCACUCCAUAUUCUUGCUCUGCUGGCAGGCGGGUGGACACCCGAAGCCGAGUGAAACAACGCGCGGCUUUAGGUGACUUUGGCACUUUUACAUUAAGUUUUAAAUAGUUUUGGAAAUAGAUAAACAAGUUGCCCUUAAAUGGCUGAACGUGUUUUCACACACUGAUCAUCACAUUACAGGCUCAUUAAGCCGACGCUGUUGUCCAAAGCAACUAACAUUAAAUUCUUAAUGCGUGGCUUCUUUAAAAAAACAUUUUUUCCUGGGGAGCAAUUAAGGGUCUUGCUCAGGGACACGGGGCAGGCGGGGGCUUAAACCACCAACCUUGUGGUUCCCAGGACACCCUCUCGACUCACGCGCCACGUCGACUUAAAGAUCUUGGUCCGUCACUGAUACUAAAGCGCCAGGAUCGAGUAUCAGUGACAACAAGUAACCUGCUUGUCUUUUUCUUUUCCGCCUUGUUGUUGCACC